AACGGUCUAUACCUGCGGUACCUGCGGAGGGAUCAUUACCGAGUUAUCAACUCCCAAACCCCUGUGAACAUACCCGAACGUUGCCUCGGCGGGACCGCCCCGGCGCCCCUAGCGGCCCGGAACCAGGCGCCCGCCGGAGGACCCAAACUCUUGCUUUAAACAGUGGCAUACUCUCUGAGUCUCACAAACAAAAAAUAAAUCAAAACUUUUAGCAAUGGAUCUCUAGAUCGGAAGAGCACA
RNAcentral lists this unclassified non-coding RNA (240 nucleotides) under soil metagenome. RNAcentral's name for it is "partial contains 5.8S ribosomal RNA, internal transcribed spacer 2, and large subunit ribosomal RNA". The record is from RNAcentral.